Molecule: long non-coding RNA, 1043 nt
Filed under: Homo sapiens (human)
Lineage: Eukaryota; Metazoa; Chordata; Mammalia; Primates; Hominidae
Description: HSALNT0327097
Source: RNAcentral
CCCAUGCAGCCCAAAAGUCCAGUCUCACUCCCACCAUGUCCCCGCAAACAGCACUGAAUUUAUUUCCAGGCAACCAGUGAGCAAGGCUGAGAACUUGUCCCAGGUUACGAGACUCCCAGAAUUGCAACCAAUUUCUGAAGAUACAUGAAACAUACAAAACAGCAGCUAUAAAAGGCAGAAUGAAAGAAGGAAAUAAGCAAAGGUCUCCAGUGCGGCCCUAGAGUUCUACAUUUCUAAAAAGCUUCUGGGCGAGGCCAGUCCUGCUAGGCCAGACACUGAGUCAUGAGGGUCUAAACCAGCCACAUCCUUAAGAGUUAGGUUUGUCAAAGAAGUAAAUAUGCAAUAGAAAGGAGGAUGGGAGAACAGAGGGGAGAGACAGCACUUUGGAGGUAGGUACCUUCCUCAGGGCAGUUCAGCCGGGAGAAGUUUAUUUGGCAACGUCCCGUCGGGAGGCCCAAGCUAAAUCAGCAGAGCAGGUGAUUGCUGAUGGAAGAGUUUUGACAGUGGCCAACAGCGGAAAGGACCUGGAAUCAGGACAGGAAAUAGAGAUGCCUAAUUCUCUAGGAAAAAGAGGCUGCAAGAGAGAGUUGGGCUCAAGCCUGGGAAAAGAAGGAAGAAGAAUUUGUGAAUUUCAGAGCUAAAGCCUGGAAGAGAGGCCUGAGAUUUAGCCUGGGUGGUUAGACACUGGAGGUGGGGGCCCUCAGGACAGUGUGAUCCUUCAGCCCUAGACUGCUUCAGGGGCCAUGUGAAAUGGAACUUGCAGUUUCCCUCAACAGCAAAGAGCUUGUUGCUCAAGAAAUUUCCUCACACUGUAGUAGAAAGGGAUGUGCUCAGAGGUGCUAUGUGACCUGGGCAGGAGGAGGACCAAGUGAGGAAGAGGACCUGAGUGGCAGGCAUUAGGGAAAAGCUGGAGCGUGAAGGAGCCUCUACGGAGUCAAGAACCACCCUGUGCUCUGUCUCACACACUUCUCUCAGGGCUUAUACUAGGCACUGUGAACCUGCUUGUUAAAUGGGUAUAUGAAUAAAGGAAUUCCUACAUUGUA